Molecule: ribosomal RNA, 742 nt
Filed under: uncultured Bacteroidota bacterium
Lineage: Bacteria; Pseudomonadati; Bacteroidota
Description: bacterial SSU rRNA
Rfam family: Bacterial small subunit ribosomal RNA
Source: RNAcentral
GGUAAGUAGUGUAGCAAUACAUUACCAAGAGUGACGUACGGGUGCGUAACACGUAUGCAACCUACCUAUAACAGGAGGAUAGCUCGGGGAAACUCGAAUUAACCCUCCAUAAUAUAAUUGAAUGGCAUCAUUUGAUUAUUAAAACUCCGGUGGUUAUAGAUGGGCAUGCGUCUGAUUAGUUAGUUGGCGGUGUAAUGGACCACCAAGACGAUGAUCAGUAGGGGAACUGAGAGGUUGAUCCCCCACACUGGCACUGAGAUACGGGCCAGACUCCUACGGGAGGCAGCAGUAGGGAAUAUUGGUCAAUGGAUGCAAGUCUGAACCAGCCAUGCCGCGUGCAGGAAGAAGGCCUUCUGGGUUGUAAACUGCUUUUGCCAGGGGAUAAAAUAGGCGUGCGCGCUUAAUUGAAGGUACCUGGUGAAUAAGCCACGGCUAACUACGUGCCAGCAGCCGCGGUAAUACGUAGGUGGCAAGCGUUGUCCGGAUUUAUUGGGUUUAAAGGGUGCGUAGGCGGUUCUGUAAGUCAGUGGUGAAAUACUCUAGCUUAACUAGAGGGGUGCCAAUGAUACUGCAGAACUUGAGUACAGAUGAGGUAGGCGGAAUUGACGGUGUAGCGGUGAAAUGCAUAGAUAUCGUCAAGAACACCGAUAGCGAAGGCAGCUUACUGGGCUGUAACUGACGCUGAGGCACGAAAGUGUGGGGAUCAAACAGGAUUAGAUACCCUGGUAGUCCACACUGUAAA